UUAAGCGACUAAGCGUACACGGUGGAUGCCCUGGCAGUCAGAGGCGAUGAAGGACGUGCUAAUCUGCGAUAAGCGUCGGUGAGGUGAUAUGAACCGUUAUAACCGGCGAUUUCCGAAUGGGGAAACCCAGUGUGUUUCGACACACUAUCAUUAACUGAAUCCAUAGGUUAAUGAGGCGAACCGGGGGAACUGAAACAUCUAAGUACCCCGAGGAAAAGAAAUCAACCGAGAUUCCCCCAGUAGCGGCGAGCGAACGGGGAGGAGCCCAGAGCCUGAAUCAGUGUGUGUGUUAGUGGAAGCGUCUGGAAAGGCGUGCGAUACAGGGUGACAGCCCCGUACACAAAAAUGCACAUAUUGUGAGCUCGAUGAGUAGGGCGGGACACGUGGUAUCCUGUCUGAAUAUGGGGGGACCAUCCUCCAAGGCUAAAUACUCCUGACUGACCGAUAGUGAACCAGUACCGUGAGGGAAAGGCGAAAAGAACCCCGGCGAGGGGAGUGAAAAAGAACCUGAAACCGUGUACGUACAAGCAGUGGGAGCCUCUUAAUGGGGUGACUGCGUACCUUUUGUAUAAUGGGUCAGCGACUUAUAUUCUGUAGCAAGGUUAACCGAAUAGGGGAGCCGAAGGGAAACCGAGUCUUAACUGGGCGUUAAGUUGCAGGGUAUAGACCCGAAACCCGGUGAUCUAGCCAUGGGCAGGUUGAAGGUUGGGUAACACUAACUGGAGGACCGAACCGACUAAUGUUGAAAAAUUAGCGGAUGACUUGUGGCUGGGGGUGAAAGGCCAAUCAAACCGGGAGAUAGCUGGUUCUCCCCGAAAGCUAUUUAGGUAGCGCCUCGUGAAUUCAUCUCCGGGGGUAGAGCACUGUUUCGGCAAGGGGGUCAUCCCGACUUACCAACCCGAUGCAAACUGCGAAUACCGGAGAAUGUUAUCACGGGAGACACACGGCGGGUGCUAACGUCCGUCGUGAAGAGGGAAACAACCCAGACCGCCAGCUAAGGUCCCAAAGUCAUGGUUAAGUGGGAAACGAUGUGGGAAGGCCCAGACAGCCAGGAUGUUGGCUUAGAAGCAGCCAUCAUUUAAAGAAAGCGUAAUAGCUCACUGGUCGAGUCGGCCUGCGCGGAAGAUGUAACGGGGCUAAACCAUGCACCGAAGCUGCGGCAGCGACACUAUGUGUUGUUGGGUAGGGGAGCGUUCUGUAAGCCUGUGAAGGUGGCCUGUGAGGGUUGCUGGAGGUAUCAGAAGUGCGAAUGCUGACAUAAGUAACGAUAAAGCGGGUGAAAAGCCCGCUCGCCGGAAGACCAAGGGUUCCUGUCCAACGUUAAUCGGGGCAGGGUGAGUCGACCCCUAAGGCGAGGCCGAAAGGCGUAGUCGAUGGGAAACAGGUUAAUAUUCCUGUACUUGGUGUUACUGCGAAGGGGGGACGGAGAAGGCUAUGUUGGCCGGGCGACGGUUGUCCCGGUUUAAGCGUGUAGGCUGGUUUUCCAGGCAAAUCCGGAAAACCAAGGCUGAGGCGUGAUGACGAGGCACUACGGUGCUGAAGUGACAAAUGCCCUGCUUCCAGGAAAAGCCUCUAAGCAUCAGGUAACAUCAAAUCGUACCCAAAACCGACACAGGUGGUCAGGUAGAGAAUACCAAGGCGCUUGAGAGAACUCGGGUGAAGGAACUAGGCAAAAUGGUGCCGUAACUUCGGGAGAAGGCACGCUGAUAUGUAGGUGAAGCGACUUGCUCGUGGAGCUGAAAUCAGUCGAAGAUACCAGCUGGCUGCAACUGUUUAUUAAAAACACAGCACUGUGCAAACACGAAAGUGGACGUAUACGGUGUGACGCCUGCCCGGUGCCGGAAGGUUAAUUGAUGGGGUUAGCGGCAACGCGAAGCUCUUGAUCGAAGCCCCGGUAAACGGCGGCCGUAACUAUAACGGUCCUAAGGUAGCGAAAUUCCUUGUCGGGUAAGUUCCGACCUGCACGAAUGGCGUAAUGAUGGCCAGGCUGUCUCCACCCGAGACUCAGUGAAAUUGAACUCGCUGUGAAGAUGCAGUGUACCCGCGGCAAGACGGAAAGACCCCGUGAACCUUUACUAUAGCUUGACACUGAACAUUGAGCCUUGAUGUGUAGGAUAGGUGGGAGGCUUUGAAGUGUGGACGCCAGUCUGCAUGGAGCCGACCUUGAAAUACCACCCUUUAAUGUUUGAUGUUCUAACGUUGGCCCGUAAUCCGGGUUGCGGACAGUGUCUGGUGGGUAGUUUGACUGGGGCGGUCUCCUCCUAAAGAGUAACGGAGGAGCACGAAGGUUGGCUAAUCCUGGUCGGACAUCAGGAGGUUAGUGCAAUGGCAUAAGCCAGCUUGACUGCGAGCGUGACGGCGCGAGCAGGUGCGAAAGCAGGUCAUAGUGAUCCGGUGGUUCUGAAUGGAAGGGCCAUCGCUCAACGGAUAAAAGGUACUCCGGGGAUAACAGGCUGAUACCGCCCAAGAGUUCAUAUCGACGGCGGUGUUUGGCACCUCGAUGUCGGCUCAUCACAUCCUGGGGCUGAAGUAGGUCCCAAGGGUAUGGCUGUUCGCCAUUUAAAGUGGUACGCGAGCUGGGUUUAGAACGUCGUGAGACAGUUCGGUCCCUAUCUGCCGUGGGCGCUGGAGAACUGAGGGGGGCUGCUCCUAGUACGAGAGGACCGGAGUGGACGCAUCACUGGUGUUCGGGUUGUCAUGCCAAUGGCACUGCCCGGUAGCUAAAUGCGGAAGAGAUAAGUGCUGAAAGCAUCUAAGCACGAAACUUGCCCCGAGAUGAGUUCUCCCUGACUCCUUGAGGGUCCUGAAGGAACGUUGAAGACGACGACGUUGAUAGGCCGGGUGUGUAAGCGCAGCGAUGCGUUGAGCUAACCGGUACUAAUGAACCGUGAGGCUUAACCUU
This 2902-nucleotide ribosomal RNA is filed under the name Escherichia coli KTE226. RNAcentral describes it as "bacterial LSU rRNA". It matches the Rfam family "Bacterial large subunit ribosomal RNA". Lineage: Bacteria; Pseudomonadati; Pseudomonadota; Gammaproteobacteria; Enterobacterales; Enterobacteriaceae. The record is from RNAcentral.